Long non-coding RNA from Aethalodelphis obliquidens (Pacific white-sided dolphin), 1021 nucleotides. RefSeq lists it as uncharacterized. The record is from RefSeq and is a predicted model, not a curated record. The transcript has 2 exons. Lineage: Eukaryota; Metazoa; Chordata; Mammalia; Artiodactyla; Delphinidae.
CACGAACCCGUGUCCCCUGCAUUGGCAGGCGGACUCUCAACCACCGUGCCACCAGGGAAGCCCGGGUUUAUGGGUUUUAUAUACACAGAGUGCUAGAUGGAUCAGUAGAUGGCCAGGUGGUUUCUCAUACUGCCCAUCAGUGGUUGUUAUUCACCCUGGGAUUUUUGCCGGCAUCCCUUCAAGAGAGGAAGGUAUGUCUUAUUAACGUUUAAUCUCAGAUAUCCAGUUAUCCAUGGAAGGCCGAUGUGUCUUGAAAUGAUAGAAUUGAACAAGGAAUUUGUGGGUGUCCCAGUGGAAUAAGAUGUAUACCAAACACAAUUUACACAAUUUUUUCAGCUUCAUGUAAAGACAUCACAGUGAACCUAUCAACAGCAGGUAACAAGGCACAUAGCAGGUAUUGAGGUAAGUGAUAAUUUGGGCCUAAACCACAGCCCAGAUCAUGUGAUCUUCACACAUAUGAGUAAGUGAUGAUUGUGUCCGUAACACUUGUGCUCCCCUAUUUUUGUUUUUUGCAGGUAUUCUGUUCAGGUCUUUGGUGGUACAUAGGGCUUGCCAAGAGAUCAGGCAGCGAGCCUCUCUAUGGCAGUUGAUGGCGGGACAUCGCUGGUGUUGAGAUAAGUGAUGGCGUGGGCCUAAACCAUCCAGUCUUCCUGUACGUAGGUAAGUGAUGACGGGUGUCAGUGCUGCUUGUCACCGUGACUUUGUUGCAGGUGCUCAGGUAAGAAAUGAACAGGUAGUCUUUACCAAAUCUAGAGACCAUGACUUUUCACUUUUUAUAUGUUAGGGAAAAUUUAUGUUUAACACUAGGAAUGCCCAAGGGUUACAGGUAUACAGGUAUUUAUCAUGAUUUUCCCCACCACAGUACUACCCAUAGGAUUUGUAUAGGUGUCCAGUCAAGAAAUGACAGUUUUCCAACCUUGGCAUCAACCUUGGAUUACUGUAAGUAUCCAGGUAAAGUUGAUAUAUCUCCGAACGAUUAAGUGAGCAAGAUUAUUUGCAGGUGUCCUGGUAGAAAAAACUG